CCAGCUUGCAAUAAAUGACUCUUUGCUGUUUGCAUUGAUCAUGGUCUCUGGUGGACUGAGAGGGGGCGUCCGAAAUCUGAGCACUUUAUGUGGGAGCUUGUCCAGGAUAGCCCCCCCAUAAGCCACACAGAUACCUGAUCAGCGAGUCAUCCAGCUAGCCGGUGGGAUUCAAAAGAUCCGUUGAUGAAUUGCCUUGCUAAACAAGCGAGCCCUGGGAAAAUGAAGCUUAACAAAGGUCCGAGGUUGAAAUAUGAGCCCAGGCCCUAUGUCUGAUCUCCUCUUGCACAAGAGUAGUCCUCUGCCCUUGAGCCACAGCCCCAACCCAUGGGGAUAUUUUCCUGUGAUCUCUUAUA
This is a long non-coding RNA of Dipodomys spectabilis (banner-tailed kangaroo rat), 353 nucleotides long. RefSeq lists it as uncharacterized. Lineage: Eukaryota; Metazoa; Chordata; Mammalia; Rodentia; Heteromyidae. The record is from RefSeq and is a predicted model, not a curated record. The transcript has 3 exons.